Molecule: long non-coding RNA, 1810 nt
Organism: Trifolium pratense (red clover)
Lineage: Eukaryota; Viridiplantae; Streptophyta; Magnoliopsida; Fabales; Fabaceae
Exons: 3
Source: RefSeq, a predicted model, not a curated record
AUGCUGUUUUCAUACCCAAAAUUCAGAAUAGUAAACACUAAACAGAGAAAUCAAUAAAAUUAAUGUGAGCAAUGCAUAAAUAUAAAAGGAAUUAUCGUUAAUUAACCAAAGUUUUGAAGCAAAUUAGUAAAGUGCCACGAGAAACAGUUGUGUGUAUUCUUGGCGCAUCAUACACAUAAAACAGUUUUUCCUAUCAUUGCUUUUGCAUAUAGCGUUACACGUAACCUUCUCAUUACAAUGGCAACUCUCCACAUCUAAACUCAAUUCCUAAAAUUCACAAAAGUCUCACAAAUUUCCUAAAUAUAUCUAUUUCUUGUGGAAUUUAAUUUCUUCCACAAAUUUUCCAAAAUUAACCCUCAUAUUAAUGGAAAACUACCUAACAUACACUUCUGAUCGAAGACGCGCGUUUUCGAUACAUUUCAAUGUUUGACAUGAAAAUGAUGCCAACAUAUCAGUAUCAUGUUUAGUUUUUGUGUCGGUGUUUCAUAUAUCUCAAAAAAACAAAAAAAAUAUAAAAAAAUAGGACUAGCAAACCUUCCAUAUAUCUCCACCCAUGUUUUAGGUGAAAAUAUGUCACACAAACACUUUCGAUUGAAGGUGUGUCCGAUACAUUUCAAUCAACUACUAAUCCAAGACAGUAAUAUACUACCAAAAAUACUUUAUUGUCCCUCUAAACCUUACUUUUUGUGUUUUUGUUGUUGCUUUACAAUUUUUUUUUAUGGGGAUAUUUUUGUCAUAUUUGGCACAUAAACUUCACAAUGCUCCUCAUAGCUUUUUUGCAACUCUCCCCAAAUUACCCUUUUCCGUUUUUUUGCCUUAUAACCCCACAAAAUUGGAGUUCUCUACCACUCAAAAGUUGCAUGAUAAAUUUCAAAAAACAAGGUUAUAUCUGGUAUUUCAUAAUCUAUUUACACACUGUCCAAUGUUAGCAGAUUUCAAUUUCAAAUUUCAUAUUCUCCCUCUUUUUCUCCCUUUAUAAUCAAUUUUGUGUUUUCUCUCUCUCAAUAUACUCAUAUUCAUGUUCUAUCUUCUCUUUCAUUUUUUCUUUUCUUCUGCAUAUUUUUGUUCUUCUCAUGUUCAAUAUACUCAUAAUGUUUGUUCUUCUCAUUUUGCAGACAAAGAAGAAUAAAAGAAAAUGAAAUCUUCACAAAGGAUACAUAAAGAUACAAACAAAAAUGAGAAGAAAACAAGACACAGAGAAGUGGUGAGAAGAAAUCAUGACUAAAAGAAAGAGAUGAAAUAACUGGAAUACAAACUCAGCAGGGCGGCGGUGCGAUUUCAGGCACGGUGGAUGCAAAUUCCGGUGCGGUGGUUGCCGGAAAAAGGUGGACCGAUUCUAAUUUUUUUGGUUGGGUUUUGUAAAGGAACAAGAGAGGAGUUUAGUGGUUGUUGUGUCAUGUUCAAAGGUGGACAGUGGACUAUAAAAAUAACAAUUUUCAUAGACGGUUUUGUAGAGAAAGAGAAGAGUAUUCAUAUGGUGAUGAUUUUUAUAAAAAUAGACUAUGGUAAUCAAGAUCUAGCAACAAAGUGACGGUUGAAUGUAUGAUAGAAAGGGAGAAGAAAUUGAACACAUUGGUGUCAAGAUCUUGAAAUAAAAAGGUCUAUAAAGAGCUUACAAUUACAUGAUCAAUGUUACAAAUCCGACCCAUAAAUGUUACAGAUCCGGCGGCUAGGGUUUGAGUUGUGGAUGAAAAGCUUAGAAAGUAAAAAAUGGGUGGUGGUGGUGUGGUUUACUGAUUUACAGAGAUGAGAGACAAAGAUUUGACAAGAAAAUAAUAAUAAUAAGAGAAAGAAAUGAUUUCAAUGUAAU